CUGAACGGACCGACUCCUGCCAAAACACCGCUGCACCGGUCUUUACAGCGUGGACGAGCUGCGCUCGACGUGACAUUGACCCAUCUUACAUCUCCAUCAGUUCUUGUCCGAUGCGCUUCCAGAAGUGGGGCGUCUGCAGGCUUAGCUGACGGCUCGUCAUUCAACGUGGCUGACAGCCAAAUUAUCCCGAUCCAUCUUGCUCCUGGCAAGAGGCGACAUAGAGGACACAGCAGGUUAGUCUGGGUGUUCUUCUCUGCGCAUCCAGCGCAGCUCUUUAAGCCUUAUCCUUCACGGAACAAGAUCGCUCGAAUGACCAUGAAAACAUGGGAGCAGCCAGUGCAGCCAAUUAGACCUCUUUCACAUCCCUCUAUGGAGGAAUGCUGAAGGCACGGGCCAAGUAGGCGUCUGUCUGUGGAGCAUGUGUGACUGUGUGUCUGCACGCUAGGGACCGCGAUGUGCUCCUCACUGAUUGGGAAUCAAAUCACAUUUAUUUAUUAGGCAUUUUGCAUAUUAUGCAGAAGAUGCAUACAGUGUGACAUACUGACAGAACUCAAGACAGUUUUAUUUAUAUAGCAACUUUCAUUGUUUGCUAAUAAAAAAAUUUAAACAGUUUAAGUAGGAAGGCCA
RNAcentral lists this long non-coding RNA (627 nucleotides) under Betta splendens (Siamese fighting fish). RNAcentral describes it as "lncRNA (ENSBSLG00000020880.1)". The record is from RNAcentral. Lineage: Eukaryota; Metazoa; Chordata; Actinopteri; Anabantiformes; Osphronemidae.